AGUCCUACGGCUGACUUCACUGUUGACAGUCACGCCAGCCAACUUCACUCUGUAGUUCUUUCCAGUAUUCGUUUCCUUGACGAUCCUUGCCACAUGGCAGAAAGAGGGGUGGCUAGCGUCACUUUAGAAACGAACCCCUUACGCAGUUGGGCCCCAAGUAUUCAACGACACUUCCAAAGAUACUUUAAACAAGACCUUCGACAGACUUCAGGAACUCAGUGGGAAAAGAAAAGGAAAAGGAAAAUUGUUAAAAAGUGAGAAAACCCGAAAAAAGAGAAAACAAGAGUGAGAGCCUCGUUACGCAAUUAAUCCCAAGUGAAUCCUCGAGAAGUCUCGUUCGUUUCCGCAUCGAACGAUGCAAAAGUAAAUAUGUAAAGGAGUAAAUAUGGGAAGCAUCGACUGAGGAAGUAACAAUGAAAAGAGCGUGGCCACGUGCUGGCCAGAUGUCAGUGAAGUCCGUGUUAUUUUGUUUAUUCCUAAGGAGAAGAGAUAUCCAUGAAUAUUUCAUCCAGCACUCGGUACGUACCGGGUGCACGUAUUUCAAACGGAUUUGCCAGAACGUGCUUUUUUCACGGUUCUUUAUAGCCCGCAGAGUACGGACUCGGAAAUAAGGCCUCGGCAUUGGCGUAGACCAUAACAAUGGAACUGGCCGUGUGCAACAUGUGUUGCCGUCGCUUGCUUCGUUGCUGGGUCCGCUCGAGUCGUACACAAAUGCGAGAAGCAAGCGUGGACUGGUGAAUGGGCCAGACUGGGACUGGAGUAGCUCUAGAGGGACCAGCUGCGUGGGACUUCUCUAGAACGCCUCUUGGAUUUCAUUGGCUUACCCAUUGUUAAAAAAAUUAUUGCGAUGCAUACGCCAAUGAAAUAUUUAUUGCUGUCCCAGCACAGCUUCUCUCGCUUAUUUGUACAAAUAUAAGCACGAAGAUGGAGUAUUCCGACUAUAUAUUAAAAAACUAACGGAGGCAUCCAACGAGAAUGGCGACCAAUCCUCUUCCUUAGCGAGGUCUUCGUCGACGAUCCAGUCCCUUUCUAGCCUCUUAUUAACCUAAACUAUCUAUGACUAUACAGCCGUAGCUAAUACUACUCGAGUAUAGUCAGUAACGGAAUGCAUUAUGCCCAUUGUAAUACGUGCUACGGUCUACAGUAACCACUGUAACGGGCUAUUUCGUUCUACUAGAUCAGAAUCGAUAGCGUGCUGGAUUGUAGAUUUGCCAUUUCUCGAAUUUACUAAUAUACUUUUCCAAUGCUAUUUCAUUAACGUGAAUACAGUCGCUUUGACUUUCAAAAUCAUUUUCAUAAUACGCUCAGAACGCAGUGCCGACCAUGUUACGUAUUAUCCACGACGCAGGGGACUCUCGAUAAUUCAACGGAACAGGGCGAAAAAAAUCAAUAGUACAUCCACCCCUGUGCAGGGCCUUAGCUCAUAUACGGAAGAGUCUUUUAUAUGAAUAGGGCACAGGAAGCAGUCGGAUUGUCUAAUGUGACGAUAACGCUGAGAAGAUACGUCCUAUUACGUAGUAUAGAUCUUUGAUAUAAACUUAUUAUCGACUCGUCGAGACGAUAUAGUGUGAUUGAUUAUCGAUAUUACUUUAGAUUAUUAAAAUUAAUAAAACUAUUGAGACUCCAUAGGGGAAUGUUGUCCGAGACGGUAUACCGAAUAGGUAAGAUUUAUGCCGUCUCAGAUAUCUCUCUACCGACUAUUUAAAUUCUACGAAUUCACGUUAUUCGUAUUCUUAUUAAUGACGUAGAUAUUUUUUUCCUUAUCCCGACGCCAUAUUAUUUUUCCUUCAAGUUUCAUUGCCGUGAGGCGAAUGUAGAAAAUUUAAACUGAAAAUACGUUAGACAAGCAUUUCGACUGUUUUAUUCACAUUGACGAUGCAAAAAAAUGUAUAAUGUGCCAUUGCUUCAAAUUCAAUUUGAAAUUAUCUCGGUUUUUUUUUUCUGCGGGCAGGAAAUCAAAUGAUAACAAUAAUGGCACAUCCUGCCUUCUUUGAUAAGUAAGUUUGUGGUAUUGUAAAAAUUUGAUAUUCUUAAAUAAUUUUUUCUCUAAUCUUUGCUCUUCGCUGCUAAAUCCGAUGGGAAUUUCUGUUUUGUCAUUUUUGUCCUUUUCACGCGAGUGAAAGCUUCGCGGAUGCAACGGGGCGACGCGUUCACCGAUAUACAAAAUAUAUGUAUAUUAUACAAUCGCUCGUCCACGCAUACACAUAUUUAUCAAACUAUUAAAAAGAAAGUCCCGAUGAAACUUCUUUAUGAAAUUAUAUUGAACGACCUUAUUGAUCUCGGCCUGCUUUCGACAUAUCAUAAUGUACAGCCUCAUCGAACUAAAAUGGCCUCUACGUACAUUAUGCAUAUCAAUAUUAAUUUCAGUACUAAGAAAUAUGUAAUAAGACACUACUACUCACGGUGGAUACUAAAUCCUAUCGCCACUUCCAUAAAUACGAUAACAUUCAUUGUUUCAUUGCGCAAUGUCCUACGAGGAUGCUUUUACAAUCAUAAAGAUGAAGUUGACAAUGGAAACAAGAUUAGAUUACGAAUAAAAUUUACGGAUUCUUAGAAAUUAAAAAAAAGUUUGAUAGUCAAUCGUGCGAGGUAUUUUGUAAAUUAAGACUCAUUCGUAUCCGGAAGCAUGAAACAUCGAUUUAUCACACCGGUUUGGCAAGCAUCCCGUUAUCAUGUAUUAAAGUCUGUUUGAUUUUCGUAUCUGUCUUGAAUACCGACUGUUACCUAUACAUAGUUAUGUAUUCUAUAUACACACAGUUAGUUGAUAUAAUCAUGCUUAUAUUUAUUUUUAAUUGUAUCAGCUAUCACGGAAGAUCAAAUCAUUAAUUUUGAUUUGUCAAAGGUUCGGGAAUGUCUGAUGUUGAAAGUGUAUGAUGAUAAACUAAGAGUAAAAGACUGAAGAAUAAAAGAAUAUUUCAUAAUUAACAAAA
This is a long non-coding RNA of Cephus cinctus (wheat stem sawfly), 2930 nucleotides long. RefSeq lists it as uncharacterized. The transcript is spliced from 4 exons. The record is from RefSeq and is a predicted model, not a curated record. Lineage: Eukaryota; Metazoa; Arthropoda; Insecta; Hymenoptera; Cephidae.